Long non-coding RNA from Ictalurus punctatus (channel catfish), 562 nucleotides. RefSeq lists it as uncharacterized. The transcript has 3 exons. Lineage: Eukaryota; Metazoa; Chordata; Actinopteri; Siluriformes; Ictaluridae. The record is from RefSeq and is a predicted model, not a curated record.
CAUAUGUGUGUGAGCUGAGCUUUUCAAGCCUAACUGCUAUAAAAACUAAAAACAGAGAGAGACUGAAAGCUGGUGAAGAAGAGCUUUGUGUAUGCCUUUCUUCAAUUCCUGCCAGGAUAUCGGCUUUGUGUUCAUCUAAACAGGCCCAGGUUUCACACUGAGAAGCUGCCUUAAUCACGAUGUACCCAGGCUACGCAGGCAGGACCGAGCUCCGGGACAACCUGGAGGCCGCUUCAGAUCCGUCUCCAUGAUUGUGCCCGACCACGCAGUCAUCGCAGAGGUGGACUUGUGAGCUGAGGGCUUCAAGUCCAGUGAGACUCUGGCGAAGAAGAUGAUUCAGCUGUAUAAGCUGUGCAGCAAGCAGCUUUCCCGGCAGGACCACUACGACUUCAGCAUGAGAGUCGUCAACUCUGUUAUCGUCAUGGCCGGGUAUGUCCGUCUACGAACAGGGUGAACAUAUUAGGUUAGAUUAGAUUCAUACGCUGUUUUUUCUAAAUUGUUAAUUAAAACUAUCUAUAAAUGUAACAGAUGUCUUGCUGGAAUAAAUCGAGCGUGUGUGUGU